Molecule: ribosomal RNA, 775 nt
Filed under: uncultured bacterium
Lineage: Bacteria
Description: bacterial SSU rRNA
Rfam family: Bacterial small subunit ribosomal RNA
Source: RNAcentral
GACGAACGCUGGCGGCGUGCCUAAUACAUGCAAGUCGAACGCUUUGAUUUUCACCGGAGCUUGCUCCACCGAAAAUCAAAGAGUGGCGGACGGGUGAGUAACACGUGGGCAACCUGCCCAACAGAGGGGGAUAACACUUGGAAACAGGUGCUAAUACCGCAUAAUUUGUCUUUCCGCAUGGAAGAAUAAUAAAAGACGCUUCGGUGUCACUGUUGGAUGGGCCCGCGCUGCAUUAGUUAGUUGGUGGGGUAACGGCCUACCAAGACCAUGAUGCAUAGCCGACCUGAGAGGGUGAUCGGCCACACUGGGACUGAGACACGGCCCAGACUCCUACGGGAGGCAGCAGUAGGGAAUCUUCGGCAAUGGACGAAAGUCUGACCGAGCAACGCCGCGUGAGUGAAGAAGGUUUUCGGAUCGUAAAACUCUGUUGUUAGAGAAGAACAAGUGAGAGAGUUACUGUUCUCACCUUGACGGUAUCUAACCAGAAAGCCACGGCUAACUACGUGCCAGCAGCCGCGGUAAUACGUAGGUGGCAAGCGUUGUCCGGAUUUAUUGGGCGUAAAGCGAGCGCAGGCGGUUUCUUAAGUCUGAUGUGAAAGCCCUCGGCUCAACCGAGGAAGGUCAUUGGAAACUGGGGAACUUGAGUGCAGAAGAGGAGAGUGGAAUUCCAUGUGUAGCGGUGAAAUGCGUAGAUAUAUGGAGGAACACCAGUGGCGAAGGCGACUCUCUGAUCUGUAACUGACGCUGAGGCUCGAAAGCGUGGGGAGCAAACAGG